CCUACGGGUGGCAGCAGUGAGGAAUAUUGGUCAAUGGGCGAGAGCCUGAACCAGCCAAGUCGCGUGAGGGAGUACUGCCCUAUGGGUUGUAAACCUCUUUUGUCGGGGAGCAAAAGCCGGACGUGUCCGGCUGUGAGAGUACCCGAAGAAAAAGCAUCGGCUAACUCCGUGCCAGCAGCCGCGGUAAUACGGAGGAUGCGAGCGUUAUCCGGAUUUAUUGGGUUUAAAGGGUGCGCAGGCGGAUUGUUAAGUCAGCGGUAAAAUCGUGGGGCUCAACCCCAUCCAGCCGUUGAAACUGGGGAUCUAGAGUGUGCGAGAGGUAUGCGGAAUGCGUGGUGUAGCGGUGAAAUGCAUAGAUAUCACGCAGAACCCCGAUUGCGAAGGCAGCAUACCGGUGAACAACUGACGCUCAGGCACGAAAGCGUGGGUAUCGAACAGGAUUAGAUACCCCAGUAGUC
This 458-nucleotide ribosomal RNA is filed under the name uncultured bacterium. RNAcentral describes it as "partial 16S ribosomal RNA". It matches the Rfam family "Bacterial small subunit ribosomal RNA", at positions 338 to 795 of the family's 1533-position model. The record is from RNAcentral.